CCCAUUUGAGUCAUGUUGUUAAAUAGGUUAAUAGAAUUUUUUACGACGUUAAUGUUCCGUUUAUCUGCUCUGUUAGAACAAAACAAUGUCGUUUAUUACAGAGACAAACGACGUCGUUUUAUCUGUUGAAACAAAUUUUAAACCCUAAAUCCCCAAAUCGAUUUCAUUAUCUCAAAUCCUAUAGAGGCCGAAUCGAUUUGAAUCCCAUCUGGUGAGGAGACAAACAAUGUUCCUCAGCCCAAAUCAAAUCGAAAAAAAAAAAGAAAAAACGGAAGAAGGAAGUUGAAGUAGAUGACAUCGUUUUGUUUUAAUAGAGAAAAUAAACGAGACAUUAACGCCGUAAAAUAUUUUUGAUAACCUAUUUAACGACAUGACUGAAAUGGC
This is a non-coding RNA of Arabidopsis thaliana (thale cress), 384 nucleotides long. The record is from RefSeq. Lineage: Eukaryota; Viridiplantae; Streptophyta; Magnoliopsida; Brassicales; Brassicaceae.